AAUGAACGCUGGCGGCAGGCCCAACACAUGCAAGUCGAACGGAUCCUUCGGGAUUAGUGGCGGACGGGUGCGUAACGCGUGGGAACAUACCCUUUGGUACGGAAUAGCCUCGGGAAACUGGGAGUAAUACCGUAUGUGGUCGAGAGACGAAAGAUUUAUCGCCAAAGGAUUGGCCCGCGUGGGAUUAGGUAGUUGGUGGGGUAAUGGCCUACCAAGCCGACGAUCCAUAGCUGGUUUGAGAGGAUGAUCAGCCACGCUGUGACUGAGACACGGCCCAGACUCCUACGGGAGGCAGCAGUGGGGAAUUUUAGACAAUGGGGGAAACCCUGAUCUAGCCAUGCCGCGUGAUCGAUGAAGGCCUUGGGGUUGUAAAGAUCUUUCAGGUGGGAAGAUAAUGACUGUACCACCAGAAGAAGCCCCGGCUAACUCCGUGCCAGCCGCCGCCGUAA
Molecule: ribosomal RNA, 449 nt
Filed under: uncultured bacterium
Lineage: Bacteria
Description: partial 16S ribosomal RNA
Rfam family: Bacterial small subunit ribosomal RNA
Source: RNAcentral